GAACGAUGUAUACAUGUACAGUGAACGAUGUAUACAACGAACAAUGUAUACAACGAACAAUGUAUACAACGAACAAUGUAUACAUGUACGGUGAACGAUGUAUACAACGAACAGGUAUACAGUGAACGAUGUAUACCACGAACAGGUAUACAGUGAACGAUGUAUACAGUGAACAAUGUAUAUAGUACAGUGAACGAUGUAUACAACGAACAGGUAUACAGUGAACGAUGUAUAUAGUACAGUGAACGAUGUAUACAUGUACGGUGAACGAUGUAUACAACGAACAGGUAUACAGUGAACGAUGUAUACAACGGACAGGUAUACAGUGAACGAUGUAUACAACGAACAGGUAUACAGUGAACGAUAUAUACAAUGAACAAUGUAUACAAUGAACAAUGUAUACAAUGAACAAUGUAUACCUGCAUUAUUCCUUGAUGGAAGAAUUGGAUUGUUACAUAACGUAUAUAAUUUUAAAUUGUUGCAAACAUUCUGAUUUAAUAAAAAAGACAUUAAUUUA
This is a long non-coding RNA of Mizuhopecten yessoensis (Yesso scallop), 517 nucleotides long. RefSeq lists it as uncharacterized. The transcript is spliced from 2 exons. Lineage: Eukaryota; Metazoa; Mollusca; Bivalvia; Pectinida; Pectinidae. The record is from RefSeq and is a predicted model, not a curated record.